GGAGGAGUUGCUGCAGCUGCGUGAACACCAAGUUGUUGAGCUAUUGACGAGGAAAGUGUCCUCCAGCAUCUGGCCUGAAGAGGUAGAACUCCUGUAUGAGGCAAGAAAGGAGAAGCAACUAUUUUUCUGUGUUUGGUUUCCACAGCAACGUUCUCCCCACACCCAUCAAUUUUUGGAUGCUACUUGCUGAGCCUCCUCCAAGAGACACAGAAGAUGGCACAGUGUUUUCCAUGUUCCUGCCUACAGACUGGAUGAGGUGAACAUCACACUCGCCUAUGUUGUCUGUCACAAGCAGACAUGGGAUGUUAGCGUGAAGAGUUUAGAAACAGGAUGUUGCUGACUGACAGGUCACAACAGUGUGUCGAUAGACAAAGGCCACUACCUUUCAAGCAGACUUGCCACGGUUUGACAAGCUGAUCUUUUGGGCAGUUUUGGGGAAGAAAUUAGGCAACACAAGAGAGCAAAACAGUGCGGGGGAAGUUUACAGAGGGAGCAGCAAAAAAAAACCUAGAGGAAUUAAGUUACUAACUCUGUCACAAGCAGUGGUUUUCUGAUAGCUUCACACACCACUACCCUCAUCCAGCCUCUCAGCAUAUGGAAAGGUGAUGUCUGUCCUACCACAGUCCCAACUCUUUGCUUUCAUUUCUAAGAACUCACAGUCUUACUUCUGAGGCAAACCAUGUAGCCUCUGCCUAAUGAUCAUAUUUAGCCAUCUUUUUAGUGACUCUGUGAAGAAGCAUCUUUCUUGUGAUAUUUUAUCCUGAUCCUGCACGUCCUUGACUACAUGAGGGAAGAGAUGCUUCCAGGAAGCCCAGCUGGAUCACUGUGCCUAGGUCCCAAAGGUCUGCAAAGCAGCAUGGCUUCACAACUGGAGGGUGGCCAAAAGUAACAGAAAGCGUAGAAGCACCAGCACUACAGCACACAUCAGUCUCAUUCAUUUUGCAGACAGCAUCCCUAAAGAGUGUGGGGUACUUGCUGCCUUGAGGGUUAUAUGAACUCAGCAUCACACUGCAUACAAACAAGUCAGUUCCACAUGCAGUAACUGGAUUCAGCACGAACCAACCCCUCUCUGCACCCAUGUAGAUUAACAAUUCAUGCAUAAAUCAUGCCAACUUGGAUUCCUCUCUGAAUAGAGUCCUGAUGUAUAUUCAUUGUAGAAUGAUAACCUGAGAAGCUGGAAUUUAUUAUACAACCUCUCAUGUGACAGGUGCACGGUACUACCAGUUAUCUAUCAUGCUCUACUGCUGGCCAAGACAGAUAUAGCAUAUAUAGAUAUAACAUAUAGCAGGAGAUGAGUUAUAUAAAAUACGUCCAUCUUUGACUCAGCUAUGUAAUCCUGAAUAGACCUUGAGCAGUUAUCAAGGGCUGGAUCCUACAAAGUUUCCUAGCCCAGCUGCCCAGAGGCAGGAAGACAUUGCCCAUAACUGGAGGGAGGGGACAUGAUGCCCUGGGGCAUCCUUCUAGUCUUUUGGUUUCAGGAGCAUUAAAUAAAGCAAAGCAGCAGAAGCCAAAAGGGCUUCAAAGAUAGAUGCCCAAGGGUAGUCUCUCCCAAAGAGCUCUGAGGAAAUGAGGCUCCUCAGGACCGUAGAAAACCAGACCCCAGAUGAGGUGAAGCAGUUGCCAAGGCCUAUUUCUUCCCUCAGUUUGAAGUCUAAUGCACACAGAUGUCCAUUAUGCAAAAUUGAAAAAGUAUAUUACAAAUUUUGUUUUUAAUAUACUUAUGACAUUCACACACAUUGAUAUUGUAUAAACACCCACGUGUCCAGACACACAUACAUCUGGCUUCUAUGUUCAUUCAGUCUUCAUCUCAUACCUUGGAGUAAAGCCAUUUGCUCCCUAUUUGGCAAAUUUUGUUGUGACAUGAAUACUGUCAUUUUUGCUGAUAGAAACCUUUAUGUUUCUCUCCAGAAGAAGAACAAUGUGGAGAAAACCCUGAAAAAUAGUGAGGGGAUGGUCUUCAAAAUUACUGAGUACCAGCACAAGAGAGGACUGUGAGGUCUGUGGGGUUGUUUUUCCCUGAAACAGCACUUGUUUUCCAAGCAUACCUCUCUAGCCAUAAGAGACAGACAUGACAGUACGCUUUUUGAAUACCGAAGGGACUAGGCAGUUCAUGCUGGCACUCUCACCAAAACAGCAGCUUUGUAAGAAAGAGAUCCCAAUGGGUAUCUGGGGACAGAGUGUCUCUGGGAAUGAAGAGAAAUGAUGGUCACAUGGACAUGAAGUUGUCUGCGUUCAAACAUCUGUUUAGUAUCACAUAGCAAACCUUAGCAGAAGCCAUCUAGGUUACUUACUGUAUGUAGGGAUACUGCUCUGCUAAAGGUUAUACAUACAGAGUUUGUAAAAACAUGUUUUGAGGUCCUUUAGAGUAAAAAAAAAGGCACUAUGGGAAGCUUCAUUGUUUCUUUUGGAGAAAUAUCCCAGUCUUUGUAGACAUUUAAAUAUGUAAAGAAUGCCCCUGGUUUCCAAGUGAUUUUGAAUUAUUUAAACAAGGAAGAAAAUGGAA
Long non-coding RNA from Tyto alba (common barn owl), 2503 nucleotides. RefSeq lists it as uncharacterized. The record is from RefSeq and is a predicted model, not a curated record. NCBI's taxonomy places the organism in Eukaryota, Metazoa, Chordata, Aves, Strigiformes, Tytonidae. The transcript has 2 exons.